Molecule: non-coding RNA, 160 nt
Filed under: Selaginella moellendorffii
Lineage: Eukaryota; Viridiplantae; Streptophyta; Lycopodiopsida; Selaginellales; Selaginellaceae
Description: Eukaryotic large subunit ribosomal RNA
Rfam family: Eukaryotic large subunit ribosomal RNA
Source: Rfam by way of RNAcentral
UUUCCCUUAAGAUAGCUAGAGCUCAUCUACGAAGUUUCAUUGGGUAAAGCGAAUGAUUAGAGGCCUCGGAGGUGAAAUGCCCUUAAUCUAUUCUCAAACUUUAAAUAGGUGAGACAUUGGGGUUGCUCCAUUGAACCCCAGCUAUGGAAUCUGAGCUCCG